UUAUUAUGUAAAAAAACCUAUAAUAAAUAAAAAACUUAUAAUUAAUAAUUAAUAUUUUCUGAUAAUUUCCUGUUUAUUAUAAUGUACUGAGAUCAUGAUUUUAUUGUAACUUUCGUGAGACAUACUAAAUUAAUUAUUAUGUUAUCGGCUUACUCACGUACUGUUUUGAACUAGUCGAGUUCUAAACAGUACGUGAGCUCACAGGAAAUUAUCAGAAAAUAUUAAUAAUAAGUUUUUUAUUUAUUAUAGGUUUUUUUCAUACAAAACAUCUACGUUUGAGUUUGUUGUGAAAGAGUUGUUUCCCUGUCUUUGUCGCUUCGUCAAUGAAAACAAUUAAUAGUAUUUUUUUUGCACGAAGCGACGUAUCGUGCAUAUUUGUGUAUCAUUGAAUUAACUGGUCUGGGGUACGAAAUUUCUUCACUAUUGUUUUUUUUUAUGUUAAAUUGGCCGACGUUUGGCCGCUAUCUCGCCUGAUGGUAAGUAAUGAUGCGGCCUACGAUGGAGCACGUCUGCCCAUAAGCAACCUAUUCACUCGGGCAUUGAAGACACCCAGGUUAUACCCAUCAGGAAACACAGACUCCGGCAAGGAGUUCCACUCCCUAGCCGUUCGCACUAGGAAGCUUGAAGCGAAGCGCUUCGUGCGUGUGGGUUGGAUAUCUACCAUGAAACGGGACGCCUCGCCGAUUGUCUUGUGGUUCGAUGAUGGAAAGGACUAGGAGGAAUCAAGUUGUGCAAUUCCCCCGCACACUCUCCGAAAUGUAUCCGGUAAAAAACGGAAAGGCUUGCGACCUUGCGCCUGUGUUCAAGGCUUUGAAGUCGGGCCUCCACAAGCGCAUCAUCAUUGAUGAGCUUCUUGGCACGCCUUUCAAUGUGUUCGAGCGCAUCCAGCUGGUAUUUAGCCGAGCCGUCCCAAAGGUGAGAACAGUACUCCAUACAUGACCGAACCUGUAAUCUACAAACACAACGUUAACUCCCGUUAAAGCUGUGGCAGAUAAUUUUAGAACACCUUUCAAUUAAUUUAUAGUAGGAAUAUUAAUUUAUAAGGAUAUGUUAAAAUAUUUUAUUAUAAAUUGUAUGUAUAUGUAUAUUUUAUACGUUAAUAAAUGUCAUAAUAUAAACUGUCUUUAUUUAUGUGCAUGCAUGCAUGUAAUGUACACAAUGUACAGGUAAACUGCACAUUACAUGUUUCAGAGCCAAAAUGGCUCCCAUGAAACAAAACCGCAGAAUAUUCGGAGCUAGGCAAUAUAAAAAUUAUACAGAAGAGAUGUUAAAAUUAGUUAUGGAGAUGGUAAAAUUAAAAAAAUUAAAAAGUCAAAAGAUUACACAUAAUUUUGUAGCCUUUUUUGACAAUAUUAAACAUAAAAACUUAACAUUUUAUAAUUGAAUUUAGUUUAAAAGGGAACAACAUUUAUGUUAAAAAUUUGUGAGUUUUUUUUACUUUAGGUUUAAGGUUCAUUAAAUUUUAUAAAAUAUUUAUUUCAUAAAAAAAUCUUCCUCGUUUUUUGAAAACCUUGAGCGUUACAAAUUAUUUGUAUGAAGAUUACGAAAGAAAAAGAUUUCCGAAAGAAAUAUACAAGGCAAAUGUGAGUGGGACCGUCGUCGGUAGAGGGCGAUAUAUUAAAAAAGGGUCAAAUUAAAAGUACCUUUAACCUACGAGCAUGCAUGAAAAGACUGAUGAAUGUUGAUGAAGCGACAGAAGUGUGUAAGAACCGUGGCAAUUGGCGUUCCAUUGUCUCUGCCUACCCCCAUGGGAGACACACCUUUCUUUUUAUAUGAUUUUAUUUCAAUUUUUUAAUGAACCACGCCAGUAAAAGAGCAGACGGGGAUACUACGUCCAAAAGGCAUCUCCGUCUAAUAUAAGUAGCAUGUAAGUUUUAUCUACAUAGAUAUUUUUUCUACCUAAUAUUACAAUCAUUUAGGAUAUCAAUAAAACUCGCUGUAAGAUUAUAUCACGCAAUCAAUCUUAGAGAUUAUAUUAGUCAGUCUUCAAGGUUGAACUAUGCUUCUACUGAAGGAGACAUGACGAUUAUCUUUUUAUAAGCUUUUAGUUUGAGAAGAAGUGAGACUCUUACUGACUAAAAACCACCCCGUUCCUACUCCUGCUUUUCGAGCCGGAGCCCCGGUAACCCGCUAGGUAGGCCCAGUACCUACGGGUUUGGUUCUACAGGCGGCGAACUACCCUUGCUCGCCAUCCGCAGAAUGGACGUUUCGACUUUUUUUUUAUUUUAAUGUACCGUGAUAUGUGAAUUUUAUAAAACUAAUAGCAAUUCGAUAAAUAAAAAUUAUCCUUGAACGUAUGUACAAUACCACUUAGGUAUUGUAAAUUAAAUCGUAUAUGGUCGAAUGACGACCACUAGGCGACCAAUAGUAUUACUAGAAUUAUUUCUAACAUGUUAAAGUUCCAUUACGAAUAAAUUCACUGUUUCACGUCGUUUUAAUUUAUAAUGAUAAUGCUAGCUCUAUGGGAUAUAAGUAUUUUUCAGCCCUUUAGUUGUUUAAGUCCAAUCGUAUCAAAAAAGUCGCAUCAACGGAAAAAUUGACUUUACAAAUUAGGCACUUUUUAUUGAGUCUGACGUUUCCUGAAGGUAGCGUGCGUAUGACGGCGUCAUCGCUACGUGCUGUGCUUACCUAUACACGGCGGUAUAUAAGUGGCAACUUUUGUUGGACUAUUGGCAUUUCUGUUUCCAUCGUCGUUCAGAUAUUACCUCAAGAAAAUGGCACCUAUCUUAAUAAAUUGUCUUCGUGUUUUCUAUCUCUGUGUGGUAGUAAACACUGUACUUUCGAUGUCUGUGGCUGAAAAUAGUGAAUAUGUGGAUAAAAUAAGUGAUUUGUAUCACAGCGAGAUUGUUAAAGUGAUCAUUAGUGACGUGAUGGCUAGAUCCGCGGCUGCAGACGAUAUUAACGAUCACAAGCGGAUCAAAAGGGCUGUUAUUGGAUCGAUAAAUUGCGCUACGAAAGCUCAGAAGUGGAAUAUUGGUGGGGGUUUAUGCAUCAAUGAAACUGAUGAAACUGAUGAUAAUUAUGUUUGAUGACGAUACUACAAACUGAAGCAAAACUUAUCGAUCAAAAAAACGGACAAAUUGUAAUAUUUUUAUAUAUACAGCUUGUACCAAAUACCAGAUACAUCAAGAAGCACUGAAGAAUACAGUUUGAAUAGAAUUAAUAUUACGAAACAUUUCUUUUGUAAAUCUGACCGCCUAAUACAAUAUCAGUAUCAGUACCUAUGUUUUGAUGUUCGGUUUCUGGAAUUUUAUGUAUUUAAAAAAUUCUUAACUUCGUUCCGUGAAAACAUGAGUUUAAAAAGCCCUUCCCGUAUCGUUUGUUAUGUUUUUUAGAAACCGUGCACUUGAUAAUUAUUAUGUAUACCCCUUUUCUGUUACACCGUUUAUAGUCAUUUUCAAAACGAACACUUACUAAAUAUGACGACCCACUCGCACGAAGUGCUUCGCUUCAAGCUUCUUUGUGCGAACUGCUAGGGAGUGGAACUCCUUGCCGGAGUCUGUGUUUCCUGAUGGGUAUAACCUGGGUGUCUUCAAGGCCCGAGUGAAUAGGUUGCUUAUGGGCAGACGUGCUCCAUCGUAGGCCGCAUCAUCACUUACUAUCAGGUGAGAUAGCGGCCAAACGUCGACCCAAUAAAUGUAAAAAAAAAAUAUGUAUGUUAUAUUAUGCAGGGUUAAUUUUGAAACACAAACAACCUCUUAUCGUACGCAUCACAUGCAUCGUAAGCAACGGAUUUUAGUUUGCCUUGUAUAGAAACUCAUACAACUGCGUAUAAUUACGUAUAAGUAAUUAUUGUAUUAAGUAAAGCUUGUAACAUGUAAGUAUUGUUUUAAUUUAUCUAUUAAAUUAUUAUACAAAUGCAAAACUA
Molecule: long non-coding RNA, 3868 nt
Organism: Spodoptera frugiperda (fall armyworm)
Lineage: Eukaryota; Metazoa; Arthropoda; Insecta; Lepidoptera; Noctuidae
Exons: 2
Source: RefSeq, a predicted model, not a curated record